UACGGGGGGAGCAAGCGUUGUUCGGAUUCAUUGGGCGUAAAGGGCGCGUAGGCGGCUUGGCAAGUCCGUCAUGAAAUGUACCGGUUCAACCGGGGCACUGUGUCGGAAACUGCCUGGCUUGAGGUCGAGGGAGGAGAGUGGAAUUCCUGGUGUAGCGGUGAAAUGCGCAGAUAUCAGGAGGAACACCGGUGGCGAAGGCGGUUCUCUGGGCAUUACCUGACGCUGAGGAGCGAAAGUGUGGGGAGCGAACAGG
Molecule: ribosomal RNA, 253 nt
Filed under: uncultured bacterium
Lineage: Bacteria
Description: partial 16S ribosomal RNA
Rfam family: Bacterial small subunit ribosomal RNA
Source: RNAcentral